UCCUAAAUAACCUUUUCAUCUUUCUCCUCUCAAACUCUCAUUUGUUUCUAACAAGACCUCAACCAAGUCAUCGAUUCUCUCCCCUCCCAUUCUACUACAACACGAAUUUCCCCCUCAUACCUUCGGACAAUAGCAAUUUCGAUGAUCUUCAACCUUCCCUUUUGCCUUUUCUGCUUCUCCCAUCAAUAUUGCAGCUCCUCCAUUAACUUUAUAUCACUUCCAUCACUUUUUUUAUCCAAAAUUAGACCCCCAAAGAAAUACUCCAUCUCCUCUGCACUUAUGGAGAAAGUUAAUGGAGUGAAGAAUCACCGGAUUUGAGGUUGUUAUUCCUCAAAUCUGAUGGUUCUAAGUCUUUUUGAAGCAACCCUUUUCCCUUUUCACAUCAACCUGGAAAGGUAAGAAAAUAAGUCUUUCUCUUCUUCCAAAUUCGUCCCUCUAUUUUUUUCUAUGAUAUGUGCUUCAAAAGAAUUUAAGUUUUUAAUUCUUGAGGCCUCACUUAACAACCAUUGCAACCCCUCUCAAUUUCAGCUAAAAAGGAGCCUUUGGACUCCCGUUUUGAUCAAUCAAGAAUUAUCAGAAAUUAUAAAAAAUAGCACCAAAUAUUAGUUCAUGCAACUAUUUCUCUUGCUCUCUUGUUGAGUUUGAAGUUCAGGUUUGAGUUUAAAUCUUCGACGAGGAAGCCCUAAUUCACUGCUCCACACAAGAGCGCAUUCGGGGUCUGAUGACUUGGAGUCUGUCUCUGUCCAAAUCAGAGAAGCAAAUAAUAAUUGCAUUAGGAAACUAGGUUUUGGAGCAUGAGUAGAAGGCCACAAAAAACCCCACUUAUAAGACCACCUACGGGGCCGUAAGUGGCCUUGUAAGUCUCAGAGGUGGCAAGAUCUGAGAUGCUGAAAGUUGAGUUAGGUUCUGACAUUGAUGAAGGGCUAUUUACGGCGCAUAAGUAUCACUUACGAUGUCGACAUAAGUACCACUUACUCCGCCAUAAGUUCCAUCCUGGGUUGCAUUCAGAAGGCUGAAGAUGUCCUAUCACUUAAGAACCACUGAGGGGCCUGUAAGUACCCCUUACAUCCUCUAAGUGGGUCCGUAAUGACCAC
Long non-coding RNA from Capsicum annuum, 1094 nucleotides. RefSeq lists it as uncharacterized. The transcript is spliced from 4 exons. The record is from RefSeq and is a predicted model, not a curated record. NCBI's taxonomy places the organism in Eukaryota, Viridiplantae, Streptophyta, Magnoliopsida, Solanales, Solanaceae.